RNAcentral lists this ribosomal RNA (482 nucleotides) under uncultured bacterium. RNAcentral's name for it is "partial 16S ribosomal RNA". It matches the Rfam family "Bacterial small subunit ribosomal RNA", at positions 30 to 507 of the family's 1533-position model. The record is from RNAcentral.
AUUGAACGCUGGCGGCAUGCCUUACACAUGCAAGUCGAACGGUAACAGGUCUUCGGAUGCUGACGAGUGGCGAACGGGUGAGUAAUACAUCGGAACGUGCCCAGACGUGGGGGAUAACGAGGCGAAAGCUUUGCUAAUACCGCAUACGAUCUAAGGAUGAAAGUAGGGGACCGCAAGGCCUUGCGCGUUUGGAGCGGCCGAUGGCAGAUUAGGUAGUUGGUGGGAUAAAAGCUUACCAAGCCGACGAUCUGUAGCUGGUCUGAGAGGACGACCAGCCACACUGGGACUGAGACACGGCCCAGACUCCUACGGGAGGCAGCAGUGGGGAAUUUUGGACAAUGGGCGAAAGCCUGAUCCAGCAAUGCCGCGUGCAGGAUGAAGGCCUUCGGGUUGUAAACUGCUUUUGUACGGAACGAAAAGGCUCUGGCUAAUACCUGGGGCACAUGACGGUACCGUAAGAAUAAGCACCGGCUAACUACGUG